Molecule: transfer RNA, 75 nt
Filed under: Clostridium algidicarnis
Lineage: Bacteria; Bacillati; Bacillota; Clostridia; Eubacteriales; Clostridiaceae
Description: tRNA-Arg
Rfam family: tRNA
About the family: Transfer RNA (tRNA) molecules are approximately 80 nucleotides in length.
Source: RNAcentral
GCUCUCAUAGUUUAAUGGAUAUAACGAUCCCCUCCUAAGGGAUAAAUACAGGUUCGAUUCCUGUUGGGAGUACCA